UUUAUGGAGAGUUUGAUCCUGGCUCAGAGUGAACGCUGGCGGCGUGCCUAAUACAUGCAAGUCGAACGAUGAAGCUUCUAGCUUGCUAGAAUGCUGAUUAGUGGCGCACGGGUGAGUAACGCAUAGGUCAUGUGCCUCUUAGUUUGGGAUAGCCAUUGGAAACGAUGAUUAAUACCAGAUACUCCCUACGGGGGAAAGAUUUAUCGCUAAGAGAUCAGCCUAUGUCCUAUCAGCUUGUUGGUAAGGUAAUGGCUUACCAAGGCUAUGACGGGUAUCCGGCCUGAGAGGGUGAACGGACACACUGGAACUGAGACACGGUCCAGACUCCUACGGGAGGCAGCAGUAGGGAAUAUUGCUCAAUGGGGGAAACCCUGAAGCAGCAACGCCGCGUGGAGGAUGAAGGUUUUAGGAUUGUAAACUCCUUUUGUUAGAGAAGAUAAUGACGGUAUCUAACGAAUAAGCACCGGCUAACUCCGUGCCAGCAGCCGCGGUAAUACGGAGGGUGCAAGCGUUACUCGGAAUCACUGGGCGUAAAGAGCGCGUAGGCGGGAUAGUCAGUCAGGUGUGAAAUCCUAUGGCUUAACCAUAGAACUGCAUUUGAAACUACUAUUCUAGAGUGUGGGAGAGGUAGGUGGAAUUCUUGGUGUAGGGGUAAAAUCCGUAGAGAUCAAGAGGAAUACUCAUUGCGAAGGCGACCUGCUGGAACAUUACUGACGCUGAUUGUGCGAAAGCGUGGGGAGCAAACAGGAUUAGAUACCCUGGUAGUCCACGCCCUAAACGAUGGAUGCUAGUUGUUGGAGGGCUUAGUCUCUCCAGUAAUGCAGCUAACGCAUUAAGCAUCCCGCCUGGGGAGUACGGUCGCAAGAUUAAAACUCAAAGGAAUAGACGGGGACCCGCACAAGCGGUGGAGCAUGUGGUUUAAUUCGAAGAUACACGAAGAACCUUACCUAGGCUUGACAUUGAGAGAAUCCGCUAGAAAUAGUGGAGUGUCUGGCUUGCCAGACCUUGAAAACAGGUGCUGCACGGCUGUCGUCAGCUCGUGUCGUGAGAUGUUGGGUUAAGUCCCGCAACGAGCGCAACCCCCUUUCUUAGUUGCUAACAGGUCAUGCUGAGAACUCUAAGGAUACUGCCUCCGUAAGGAGGAGGAAGGUGGGGACGACGUCAAGUCAUCAUGGCCCUUACGCCUAGGGCUACACACGUGCUACAAUGGGGUGCACAAAGAGAAGCAAUACUGCGAAGUGGAGCCAAUCUUCAAAACACCUCUCAGUUCGGAUUGUAGGCUGCAACUCGCCUGCAUGAAGCUGGAAUCGCUAGUAAUCGCAAAUCAGCCAUGUUGCGGUGAAUACGUUCCCGGGUCUUGUACUCACCGCCCGUCACACCAUGGGAGUUGUGUUUGCCUUAAGUCAGGAUGCUAAAUUGGCUACUGCCCACGGCACACACAGCGACUGGGGUGAAGUCGUAACAAGGUAACCGUAGGUGAACCUGCGGUUGGAUCACCUCCUUU
This 1504-nucleotide ribosomal RNA is filed under the name Helicobacter pylori. Its description in RNAcentral is "bacterial SSU rRNA". It matches the Rfam family "Bacterial small subunit ribosomal RNA". Lineage: Bacteria; Pseudomonadati; Campylobacterota; Epsilonproteobacteria; Campylobacterales; Helicobacteraceae. The record is from RNAcentral.